RNAcentral lists this unclassified non-coding RNA (263 nucleotides) under plant metagenome. Its description in RNAcentral is "partial contains small subunit ribosomal RNA, internal transcribed spacer 1, and 5.8S ribosomal RNA". The record is from RNAcentral.
UUUCCGUAGGUGAACCUGCGGAAGGAUCAUUAUUGUAUAACCGAGGUGCGAGGGCUGUCGCUGACCCGAAAGGUCGUGCACGCCCGAGUGCCCUCACACACAUCCAUCUCACCCCUAUAUGCACCGCCGCGUGGGUCCCCCUUUGGCUUGUUCGGAGGGGGGCUUACGUUUUCACACAAACUUUGUAUGCAGUGUAGAAUGUAUCUUUUGUUUUUGCGAUCACGCAAUCAAUACAACUUUCAACAACGGAUCUCUUGGCUCUC